UUUCCGAACUUGAAGAGUGGAACUCUUCCCAAUAUAUCCUGAAGUCCAAUUCCAGUUCCCGUUUGCCUCUGUUUUCAAGGUCAGAGAGGGAGGGUAAAAGA
Ipomoea nil (Japanese morning glory) is the source of this 101-nucleotide long non-coding RNA. RefSeq lists it as uncharacterized. NCBI's taxonomy places the organism in Eukaryota, Viridiplantae, Streptophyta, Magnoliopsida, Solanales, Convolvulaceae. The transcript is spliced from 3 exons. The record is from RefSeq and is a predicted model, not a curated record.